This 468-nucleotide ribosomal RNA is filed under the name uncultured bacterium. RNAcentral describes it as "partial 16S ribosomal RNA". It matches the Rfam family "Bacterial small subunit ribosomal RNA", at positions 28 to 507 of the family's 1533-position model. The record is from RNAcentral.
GACGAACGCUGGCGGCGUGCUUAACACAUGCAAGUCGAACGGAAAAGCCCUGCUUUUGUGGGGUGCUCGAGUGGCGAACGGGUGAGUAACACGUGAGUAGCCUGCCCUUGACUUUGGGAUAACUUCAGGAAACUGGGGCUAAUACCGGAUAGGAGCUCCUGCUGCAUGGUGGGGGUUGGAAAGUUUCGGCGGUUGGGGAUGGACUCGCGGCUUAUCAGCUUGUUGGUGGGGUAGUGGCUUACCAAGGCUUUGACGGGUAGCCGGCCUGAGAGGGUGACCGGCCACAUUGGGACUGAGAUACGGCCCAGACUCCUACGGGAGGCAGCAGUGGGGAAUAUUGCACAAUGGGCGGAAGCCUGAUGCAGCAACGCCGCGUGCGGGAUGACGGCCUUCGGGUUGUAAACCGCUUUCGCCUGUGACGAAGCGUGAGUGACGGUAAUGGGUAAAGAAGCACCGGCUAACUACGUG